UACGUAGGAUGCUAGCGUUGUCCGGAUUUACUGGGUGUAAAGGGAGCGCAGGCGGGUUGGUAAGUCGGUGGUGAAAUUCUCGGGCUUAACCCGAGUACUGCCAUCGAUACUGCUAAUCUUGAGUGCAGAAGAGGUUGAUGGAAUUCUAGGUGUAGCGGUGAAAUGCGUAGAUAUCUAGAAGAACACCGAUGGCGAAGGCAGUCAACUGGUCUGCUACUGACGCUCAUGCUCGAAAGCGUGGGGAUCAAACAGGAUUAGAUACCCUGGUAGUCCACGCCCUAAACGAUGAAUACUCGAUGUCGGCUCGCAAGGGUCGGUGUCUAAGCUAACGCAUUAAGUAUUCCACCUGGGGAGUACGAUCGCAAGGUUGAA
Molecule: ribosomal RNA, 372 nt
Filed under: uncultured bacterium
Lineage: Bacteria
Description: bacterial SSU rRNA
Rfam family: Bacterial small subunit ribosomal RNA
Source: RNAcentral